Molecule: small RNA, 2607 nt
Filed under: Rattus norvegicus (Norway rat)
Lineage: Eukaryota; Metazoa; Chordata; Mammalia; Rodentia; Muridae
Description: uncharacterized LOC102552372
Source: RNAcentral
GUAAUUGACGAAGCCCUUUGUGGGGGCUAUCCCAUGAUGCUCUGCCUGCCACAGGCUUCCUUAGCCUGCCUCAGUAUCCAUCUUGCUAUCCUGGGGGCCUCAUCACAGUUGCGGUUUGUUAAAUAAGAGAUAUCCUGUUCUCCCAGCAGGAACUGAGGGCAGUUUCAGAACCCCUUACUGUUUGCUGUGGGGUUUGAAUGAGAAAUACCCACCCGGCCCCCACAGUCUUGGGUAUUUAAACCCUCGGUCACCAGUUGGUAGUGCUGUUUAGAGAUAUUUAAGGUGCUCCUCUCUAGAGGAAGCUUGUCGCUGGAGGUGGGCUUUGAAAUUUGACACUUUGUAUUACUUCCGGGGUCAUUCUCUCUGCCUUGUGCUUAAGGUCCAGGGUGCAAACUCUCUUGGCUUUCUCCUCAGCAGCUAUGCUUGCCGCUAUAACAUCUAGUCCUGAUGGAUUCAUGCCCCGGGCAUCAUAAACCCACAAGAAACCCUUCUUUCUCUAAGUUGUCUUGAUCAUGGUAUUUUAUCUCAAGACCAGAAAAGUAAUUAAAUAAAAACAUUAGCUAAACAGCCUUUCAGUGUGGGCUGGUGGGAUCUGACAUAAUGCAUGGGUGCCCCACUCCACCAUAACGAGUGGUUUUCUUCCACUAAAAGCACAUGAUAGUGAGAUGUUUUUUUUAAAAAAGCCAGGACUACAAAAUACUGGAUCCGAAUUGACAGCACACCGGCAGCCCAGCAGCUCCGUCUUCUUCCCCACGUGUGGCUGUCGAUUGGCGGUUUUUUUCUCCCUAAUUACCCAUCUGCUAGAGAGGAAAGUAACACCACAUCAUUUAGAAGAAAUGCACCUGUUUAUCGAAAGGCAAGAAUAACCUAGUUUGCAAGGAUCCUUGGCUCUCCAACUUGCCUCCACAGACUCAAUAUCACUGCUGUUUUUCCAGGUGAUCAAAUGACUCUGACUCCAGACUUUCCAAAUCCGUCGUUCAACCUUCAUCUAUCAUUCCCUGCACGUGCUUUACAGCACGAGAGAGGGUUAUAUCACUGAGCAGGCCAGUUCUUCCUUUGAAGUUCUGAGUGUGAACCAGAGCCAUCUUUGUAUUUACUUAGAGAACCGAGGGAGGCCGAAACCCACAGAAGCUGGAGAAACUUUUGAUAUGCGCUGUCAUCAGGAAAGAAACUCUUUCAGGUCUGGUUCCACCACAUCCUGCAAAGUUCAAAACGACAUCGUGCGAAGUUCAAAACGAAUUCUACUUCAGUCUUAUCUCUAGCCUAAGAUACGUAAUUGUAAUUCAUCAAAAAAUAUCAACGGAGUUCUUGAUUGCCAGAAAGCCGUGACUCCUCUGCUGGGGAAGUGUAGGAAUUUUUGCACUUUGCAUCCUACUGAAAUUCUAAGCAGCUUUUGCUGCCACCGUUAAGUGAGGGUCACUUCCUACCUGGAGAACCAGAAAGAUUGGAAACGUCUUGAGGCAGCCGGCCAUUUCAGGAAGCCUGCUGCAGACUGUUUUGAGCCAUGUCCACUGACAUUAGUGCUACUUUGAGAGCUGCCCCCGAGGUACUGCCUAGAAAUUUCAGAGACCCUCCUUUCUGCCAGAACAAUUUCAUCGAGAUGAAAUCGAAAUCUGGCUUGAUACUGAGAAGGACAUUUGCGCUUAAUGCCCGUGGAAAAUUCUGUGUUCGCGCACCUAACGGAGCAUAAGAGUUUAUUUUCCGAUCAGCUGCAGAAGUGACAUGGCACUGCCAGCCAAGAUCAGCAGAGACGUGACAUUUACGGGUGGACUGGGAGCAUCUGACAAGGUGGCGCACACCUGCAAUCUCAGAACCUUGGAGGAGGAAGCAACUACAUCCCUGAGAGUCGGUGGACAGUCUGAUCUCCGGGCCAAAUUAGCUUCCCACAUGCUUUUUGCUUGGGAACUGAAACCAGUUUUUCUAAUUAAUGAUUAAUUAAUUUUGUGCUGUGAAGGAUUAGAUACAAGGUCUCAGACUACCACAAAAGCAUUCUACUGCUGGUCUAUAUCCUCUGCCCUUGAUUAUUUUUUAUUUUAAAACAUUUAUUUACUUUAUUGUGUGUGUAUGUGUUGGCCUGCAUGUAUGUAUAGCAUUGAACUUGUUUCUUCCUCAGCCAUCCCAAGUACUGGGUAUACAGACAUGUACCGUCAUGAACAUGUUUUUUAAUGUUAUGAACCCUUCUGUGUACACUUGAUAAAGGCUUGGCAUAGGAGGGAGAAGAGGAGGAAAACCAGUAGUUUUAAGGACAGACAUGUGGGCAUGGGAUGGUUCAGUUCACUCAUGAGAUGCCAUCUUGUGGAUAUGGCAUGGUCAUGAACUCACAGUAGCUGUUAUUUCUGCACAAGAUAUCAACAAGUCCAAGCUGUUCAGAAUUUCAACAUGGAUGUGGUGGGGCAUGAUCCCUGCCCUUGUCAGAGAAGCUAUUAGCAUGGGUAGCCAUGUGGGAAGGAAAAUCAGUCUUCUCUGAAAGUAUGGGCACUGGUACUUUGCCGGUGCUCCAGAGGAUGGGCUCACACCCGUGUACACACGAGCAUCACUAAUUGAGUUUAUGAGUUUUUAACAAAAAAAAAAAAAAAGAAAAAAGAAAAAAGAGGACAUGAAGUUGGA